UGCUUUUCUCCAUUCCUCUUUUUUAAUUGCUUCCUCAAAAGUUGUUGGAUCUGAAAUAAACAAAGCAAAUGUUGAGUUAUAAAUUUCUGUCAGUGAUCUGAAAUUUUUUGGAGGGGUUUCAUUUGAGGAAUCCGAAUUUGAACUGCUAUUGGGUGAGGUUAACGAUGAACUUAUUGGAGUAGGAUCUGUCACUUGAUUCUGCGGAGUGUCUAGUUCUGCUGGAAUCUGCAUUUGUGUUUCACCUUUAUUGGUCUCCCAAUUCCAACUUGC
This 270-nucleotide long non-coding RNA is filed under the name Musa acuminata (dwarf banana). Its description in RNAcentral is "long non-coding RNA (MACU_LNC008388)". Lineage: Eukaryota; Viridiplantae; Streptophyta; Magnoliopsida; Zingiberales; Musaceae. The record is from RNAcentral.